This 1129-nucleotide long non-coding RNA is filed under the name Anser cygnoides (Swan goose). Its description in RNAcentral is "lncRNA (ENSACDG00005005019.1)". The record is from RNAcentral. Lineage: Eukaryota; Metazoa; Chordata; Aves; Anseriformes; Anatidae.
UCUCUUUAUAUUUAGAGGUUCAUUGCCACACAAUGAGAUUACAGAAGAUUAAGUAAAAGAAAAUGUGAAACGUUUUAUAGCACUUGUAAUGUGCUACUUACUGCAUGCAUUAUCUUUGUACUGUUUUGUUUGUUCGUUUGUUUUUUGUUCCCCAUUUCUAAGCACUUUUUAACAUCCUGUUAGCAUAUAGUACCACAGAUUUUGUUCAGAUCCUGAAAGUGGAGCUGUAAGUGAAUUGCUGCUGGUUGUUAUCCACCUUCAUCAAAGUUAACUGUAGGUUGAAUUAUUUAGAAAGUAUUACUUUCCCCAUGUUUUUUCCCCAAAAAACAGUAUGACCAGACUUGAAAAAUAGAUUUUUUUUCCACAGGUCUUAAAAGCUAGAACUACUGUGAAAAGGGACUCAGGGACUACUUUAGGCUGAAAUUCACCAUGUGAGAAGGAGUAGUGCAAGACCUCCGCAUCAAUGAUGAGGAGUUUAGCUGGCCCAUAAAGCCUAGACAACACAAAUCUGAUUAACACCUGGGCAUCGCUUUGGAUUUCAAGAAAUACCUUUACACAGUCUAUAUUUGGCUAUUUCAGUGUCUCCAUUGGCUUUGCUAAUAUUCAGCAUUCUAGGAAUAAUGUUUUAGUCUUCCCUUAAAAAUAUCAUAAACAGCCUUUCCCAGAAGAUUCAUAUUAUCAAAUGACUACAGUUUAGUCUUGAGCCUAUAAAAACGUUUAGAAAUAUAAGCACUAAAACGUACAGAGCAACAAAUAGUACCCUUAGCAGCCUUUCCUUGAGGAGUACGAUAACUCAGAACAAUACCAUUAACUUUCCCUUCACUCUUAGGACCACAACGGCUACGUGUAUAGUGCUGAUCUCAAACUCACCCAGUCGGAAAGCCUCCCAGUGGAUUUAGGAAAAAAAAUCACAGAAGUGGAGGUUAGGAUAGAAGAAAAGGCUCAGAAAACAAUAUCUCUACCCAAGGAGUGGAUCACAUUGCACUGAUAGAAAUUUAAUGGUUCUUCAGGAAGCAUAAUGAACAACCUUAUCUCAGGAGACCUCUGUUCUCUACACAAAUCAAGAGUGGUGACAGCUCAUCCUUCCCAGAAACCAAUACCAGGAAGAAAGUGCGCUGCCUGAGAACGU